UUGCAGCUUAUGAAGUGUACACGCAGAUAUCGCGGUAGGUCAACAAUAAGGAAGCGAAGGGUGGAUGAGGGACAGGGAGAACGGAGACUGUUGCGCUGAGGAGAGGAUGUCGACGCCGUGAUGCGGCAGGCGAGGAUACCGCACGUGUUCUUCAAGACGCUCAUUUUAUUCCAUGCCCUCGACACGGGUGCAUGAUUCCUCUUCCGGUGGCGACGCGGCCAAUAGCGACGGCCUUGACUUCCGCCUUCGUGGCUUCUUCACUACCAUUUGCGCCAGCCAGGGUGGCCGUCGUUUAUGAGGAAGAUGAAUCUAUGAUAUGUUGCUCCUUAUUUACUCCGUUUCCCCUUAAGGGCUGAUUGACAAGGGCGAGGUGGCGCGGCGGAGGUUCCUUGAAAGACGGUGAUGAUCCGGAGCAUCUAUCGGAGCUAUCUUUGCCUGUUAUUUGCCUAGGUGCUGACUUGAGUUGCUGAUUUUGUUUUGAGGCUGAUGCGGAGACCGACGAAGUGUACACGCAAAUGACGCUGCAGCCGCUGAACCUG
Long non-coding RNA from Lolium rigidum, 539 nucleotides. RefSeq lists it as uncharacterized. NCBI's taxonomy places the organism in Eukaryota, Viridiplantae, Streptophyta, Magnoliopsida, Poales, Poaceae. The transcript is spliced from 4 exons. The record is from RefSeq and is a predicted model, not a curated record.